Molecule: non-coding RNA, 518 nt
Organism: Camellia sinensis
Lineage: Eukaryota; Viridiplantae; Streptophyta; Magnoliopsida; Ericales; Theaceae
Source: RefSeq, a predicted model, not a curated record
CACGAAUGACCUAGGUUUUGCCCUAAUCUCUUCACUUCGGCAACACAGCAGCAAAGAGGCGACCCAUCCAUUCCAUUCCAAGGCCUCCGGCGACGGCGACGCAAGGAGAGUUCCGAUCAGCAAGCAACUGGUUUUGUCCCUUCUUGCAUCUCUUCGUCUUCCCUCCGGUGAGAAACUGGUCAGAAUUUUUGGCUGCCCCUGCAUAUCAGCAAGCAACUGUUUUGGUAAGGAGAGAUGGGAGAAAGGAAGGUGUUGAACAAGUACUACCUGUCGGACUUCGAUCCGGCCAAGAUUCCGAGGCGGAGGCAGCCGAAGAACCAGCAGAUGAAGGUGCGGAUGAUGCUUCCCAUAAGCAUUCGCUGCGGCACCUGCAGCAAUUACAUCUACAAAGGUACCAAGUUCAACUCCCGCAAGGAAGAAGUCAUCUGCGAGCGAUUAACCUGAUGAAGUGAUGUCCUGACUGAACAUAUUCUAUGUAAAAGCAUGAGGUGACAUUGGAUGAAAUUUCAACAUUAUGC